AGAAUCAACGCUGGCGGCGUGCCUAACACAUGCAGGUCGAACGCGAGAGGGGAGCAAUCCCUGAUUGAGUGGCAAACGGGUGAGUAACACGUGGGUGACCUGCCUCAGAGUGGGGGAUAACGUCCCGAAAGGGACGCUAAUACCGCAUAACAUCCUGCCUUUAGAAAGGCGGAGAUCAAAGCCGGGGAUCGCAAGACCUGGCGCUUGGAGAGGGGCCCGCGCCUGAUUAGCUAGUUGGUAGGGUAAUGGCCUACCAAGGCUACGAUCAGUA
This 271-nucleotide ribosomal RNA is filed under the name uncultured soil bacterium. Its description in RNAcentral is "partial 16S ribosomal RNA". It matches the Rfam family "Bacterial small subunit ribosomal RNA", at positions 26 to 285 of the family's 1533-position model. The record is from RNAcentral.